AGUGACAUCACAUAUAUGGCGAC
RNAcentral lists this microRNA (23 nucleotides) under Bos taurus (domestic cattle). RNAcentral describes it as "Bta-Mir-489-v3_3p (mature (guide))". The record is from RNAcentral. Lineage: Eukaryota; Metazoa; Chordata; Mammalia; Artiodactyla; Bovidae.